This 450-nucleotide ribosomal RNA is filed under the name uncultured Glomus. Its description in RNAcentral is "SSU rRNA". It matches the Rfam family "Eukaryotic small subunit ribosomal RNA", at positions 569 to 1023 of the family's 1831-position model. The record is from RNAcentral. Lineage: Eukaryota; Fungi; Glomeromycota; Glomeromycetes; Glomerales; Glomeraceae.
AGCAGCCGCGGUAAUUCCAGCUCCAAUAGCGUAUAUUAAAGUUGUUGCAGUUAAAAAGCUCGUAGUUGAAUUUCGGGGUCAGCAGGUCGGUCGUGCCACUGGUAUGUACUGGUCUUGCUGACUCCUCCCUCUUGACGAACCGUAAUGCCAUUAAUUUGGUGUUGCGGGAAAUCAGGACUGUUACUUUGAAAAAAUUAGAGUGUUUAAAGCAGGCUUACGCUUGAAUACAUUAGCAUGGAAUAAUGAAAUAGGACGUUCGAUCCUAUUUUGUUGGUUUCUAGGAUUGACGUAAUGAUUAAUAGGGAUAGUUGGGGGCAUUAGUAUUCAAUUGUCAGAGGUGAAAUUCUUGGAUUUAUUGAAGACUAACUACUGCGAAAGCAUUUGCCAAGGAUGUUUUCAUUAAUCAAGAACGAAAGUUAGGGGAUCGAAGACGAUCAGAUACCGUCGUAG